CUAGACUCCUACGGGAGGCAGCAGUGGGGGAUAUUGGACAAUGGGGGAAACCCUGAUCCAGCGACGCCGCGUGAGUGAAGAAGUAUUUCGGUAUGUAAAGCUCUGUCAGCAGGGAAGAAAGAAAUGACGGUACCUGACCAAGAAGCCCCGGCUAACUACGUGCCAGCAGCCGCGGUAAUACGUAGGGGGCAAGCGUUAUCCGGAAUUACUGGGCGUAAAGCGCUCGUAGGCGGUAUGUCAAGUCAAGGGUGAAAUCCCCGCGCUCAACGUGGGAACUGCCUUUGAAACUGGCAAACUGGAGUGUGUGAGAGGAUAGUGGAAUUCCAGGUGUAGGAGUGAAAUCCGUAGAUAUCUGGAGGAACAUCAGUGGCGAAGGCGACUAUCUGGCACAUAACUGACGCUGAGGAGCGAAAGCGUGGGUAGCAAACAGGAUUAGAUACCCUCGUA
This 447-nucleotide ribosomal RNA is filed under the name uncultured bacterium. RNAcentral's name for it is "bacterial SSU rRNA". It matches the Rfam family "Bacterial small subunit ribosomal RNA", at positions 331 to 792 of the family's 1533-position model. The record is from RNAcentral.